GAUGAACGCUGGCGGCGUGCCUAGUACAUGCAAGUCGAGCGAACGGACGAGAAGCUUGCUUCUCUGAUGUUAGCGGCGGACGGGUGAGUAACACGUGGAUAACCUACCUAUAAGACUGGGAUAACUUCGGGAAACCGGAGCUAAUACCGGAUGAUAUUUUGAACCGCAUGGUUCAAAAGUGAAAGACGGUCUUGCUGUCACUUAUAGAUGGAUCCGCGCUGCAUUAGCUAGUUGGUAAGGUAACGGCUUACCAAGGCAACGAUGCAUAGCCGACCUGAGAGAGUGAUCGGCCACACUGGAACUGAGACACGGUCCAGACUCCUACGGGAGGCAGCAGUAGGGAAUCUUCCGCAAUGGGCGAAAGCCUGACGGAGCAACGCCGCGUGAGUGAUGAAGGUCUUCGGAUCGUAAAACUCUGUUAUUAGGGAAGAACAUAUGUGUAAGUAACUGUGCACAUCUUGACGGUACCUAAUCAGAAAGCCACGGCUAACUACGUG
RNAcentral lists this ribosomal RNA (497 nucleotides) under uncultured bacterium. Its description in RNAcentral is "partial 16S ribosomal RNA". It matches the Rfam family "Bacterial small subunit ribosomal RNA", at positions 28 to 507 of the family's 1533-position model. The record is from RNAcentral.